GGACUGCAAACUUCUCUUCCCGUUUCUGUCUUUCCCAGCCGCAUUUUUCGGUGCGUGUAACAAGCCUAUCGGCUCUCGCCCCCGCCUUGUUCCGCUCCACCUCCGAGAUCCCAACCCUAGGGAGAAAAGGAUGGGAUAGAUUCCAGGGGGCAGCAAGGGCAACGGCAGCGGCGACGAAGACCUGUUUCAAGAAGAACCGGAGUUACCCCGGAGG
This 214-nucleotide long non-coding RNA is filed under the name Elaeis guineensis (African oil palm). Its description in RNAcentral is "long non-coding RNA (EGUI_LNC066764)". Lineage: Eukaryota; Viridiplantae; Streptophyta; Magnoliopsida; Arecales; Arecaceae. The record is from RNAcentral.